RNAcentral lists this ribosomal RNA (683 nucleotides) under uncultured Pseudomonadota bacterium. RNAcentral's name for it is "bacterial SSU rRNA". It matches the Rfam family "Bacterial small subunit ribosomal RNA", at positions 71 to 748 of the family's 1533-position model. Lineage: Bacteria; Pseudomonadati; Pseudomonadota. The record is from RNAcentral.
GCGCGGGGGCAACCCUGGCGGCGAGCGGCGAACGGGUGAGUAAUACAUCGGAACGUGUCCCGUAGUGGGGGAUAGCUCGGCGAAAGCCGGAUUAAUACCGCAUAUGCUCUACGGAGGAAAGCGGGGGAACCGCAAGGACCUCGCGCUAUGGGAGCGGCCGAUGUCCGAUUAGCUUGUUGGUGGGGUAACGGCUUACCAAGGCGACGAUCGGUAGCUGGUCUGAGAGGAUGAUCAGCCACACUGGGACUGAGACACGGCCCAGACUCCUACGGGAGGCAGCAGUGGGGAAUUUUGGACAAUGGGGGAAACCCUGAUCCAGCCAUGCCGCGUGAGUGAAGAAGGCCUUCGGGUUGUAAAGCUCUUUUGGCCGGAAAGAAAAGGCUACGGAUAAUACCCGUGGUCCUUGACGGUACCGGCAGAAUAAGCACCGGCUAACUACGUGCCAGCAGCCGCGGUAAUACGUAGGGAGCAAGCGUUGUUCGGAUUUACUGGGCGUAAAGGGCGCGUAGGCGGCGCGGUAAGUCACUUGUGAAAUCUCUGAGCUUAACUCAGAACGGCCAAGUGAUACUGCAGUGCUAGAGUGCAGAAGGGGCAAUCGGAAUUCUUGGUGUAGCGGUGAAAUGCGUAGAUAUCAAGAGGAACACCUGAGGUGAAGACGGGUUGCUGGGCUGACACUGACGCUG